This 237-nucleotide transfer-messenger RNA is filed under the name Nitrospirota bacterium. RNAcentral describes it as "Nitrospirae bacterium partial transfer-messenger RNA". It matches the Rfam family "transfer-messenger RNA", at positions 1 to 260 of the family's 374-position model. Rfam says of the family: Bacterial tmRNA, also known as 10Sa RNA or SsrA, is named for its dual tRNA and mRNA-like properties. Its role is to liberate the mRNA from a stalled ribosome. Lineage: Bacteria; Pseudomonadati; Nitrospirota. The record is from RNAcentral.
GGGGGCGACCGGAUUCGACGGGGAUCAAGAGGUCAGCGGGGCAUGCCGAGCUCUCGGGGACUCGUAAAACCUCCGGGGAACAAGCAACUGCCAAUCAAGAACUGGCACUCGCAGCUUAACUAACUGCGACGUCCCUCCGCCUGAGGCCUGCGGGGGUGGAAGGGGCGCGAUGCAGCAGGCUGGUCCAAAGCUGGUGCUCAGCGGCUGAGGACGAGAACACACUGGGCUAGCGGCUGU